UAGAUUUCCAUUACUCUUAGAAGAAAUUUUGAGCUCCUUUUCGUUACCUACAAAGUCUCACAUGAUCUGGCUCCAAUCCACUGUCCAAAUUCAUCUCAUACUGCUCCCCUUCCUUCACCAUACUCCUACCACACUGAUAAAGGUAAAACUGGCAAGAUCAUACAGAAUGGGAAAGGAAGCAAUAGCAACAAAAUUUUAAAAGCUGGAAAAGAGAUGGACAAGUAGUAACUGAUAUAGCAGACUAAGAAAGGAGACUCCCAAUGGGGAAAGCCAAAAAGCAGCUAGAUUGACAACAGAGAAACUACCAAAGGCUCAUGAAUUGGUUGCAGGAGGUACCUCUAAGAGUAGCGGGGAAGACAGGGAUGAAAAAAGCAGGUUAGGUUGAUUUUUUUUUUUUUCCACGUAGAGGAAAGUGCAAACGCAGUCCCCCAGUACCACAAAUUAUGUGGUCGAGUUUCCCGCAUUUGGAGAAAUUGCAAAAUCAGCACAUCCGGAGUGCAAUGGAUAAGCCUCGCCUGGGAAAACCACCUUUGUGAUCAUGGUAUCUCCUCAGCAGUACCAGUGCUGUGCGCAAAUCAUGCCACAUUACUGCUGCUCAAAACUCUUCCAUGGCUUCCUGCUGGAUUCAAGCCUUCUCUAAGCUCCUGGAGCCCCUGAGCCCCACUGAAAUGAGGAACACGCCUCAGUGUAACCUCUACCCAGAUCACAUAGCAAGAUUCUCAGCUUCAUCCAGGCAUUUGGAUAAGGAACCUCUCAACCCUUGCCUCCCAGGAGCCCUCUCCCUGACCUUAUCAUCUUUCCCCAAGAUUGCUCGCACCUGAGCAGGAUCUGAGCUGGAGACCGGCCAUACUUUUCAGCCAGUGCCAGGACCACUGGCUCCUCCAGCAGGACGGGCUCACCAGGAUCACGCCAAGCACGAUCAGAGGAGCCCAGAGGGCUAUAAGCAGUCACCUCCAGGCCACGUGCUUGGCAGUGGGCAAUGAGCUCGUUCUGAGCCAGGUAUGGGUGGCAUUCCACCUAAGCCAAGAAACAACCCAUCACCAUGGGGAGACCACACCCAGACACGCACAUCUUGACCCCCCACUUCCCCUCAACCUGCUUUUCUCACUCUCAGUUUUCCACUGUCCAUUCCAUUUACCUUCCCACACUUCAAUGGCCUUUUUUAUGCAGAGGAUUUCUGCACCAACACUUCUAACAACUUUCUAGCUAUCCCCAUGAGUGGACCCAUCAUCUGCUCACUCAUGCUUUUGCACAUACCCCCGACCCCAAAGCAACUGAUCUGCUUUGCUGUGCUCACCUGCAGGACAGCUGGGCGCACAGAGGCCACACUGAGCACAUCAUCAAUCUGCCGACUGUUGAAGUUGGACAGGCCCAGUGCCCGCACCAGCCCUUUAGCCACCAGUGCCUCCAGAGCCUUCCAGGUCUCCUUGUAGUGGGUGGAGUCAUAGCGGAUAGUCCCAUCGGCAUUCUUAGGGAAGGGGUUGUCUCCCCGCCUGAGUGAAAGACAGCCCCCCAAGAGUGGCACAAAUGCCAGGCUCCUGCCUACCCACCCAUCCAGCCAUACGCCAAAGCCCAGAAAGGGGAAAGGGCCAAGAAAGAGAAACAAGCAUGGUUUUUUCAUUCUUCUAGGUCAUGACCUAAGUGUUAACCCUACAUGGAAUGCCCAUUUUCCCUCUUCUUCCUAGACACAGAUCAUAUCCUCUCUCCUCUGGCAAGUCUUCCUUUCUCCUUGGGGAGUUGCACGCCCCUGCAGCCUUCGUCAAGCACAGGACACAGGGCCAGUGGUCAGCUUCUCUCACAUCCUCCUGGGGAGCUUAUUCUUUACUGCAACCCUAGCACAGCAGAAGCUAGUACAUUUCCUAAGUGUAAAGGCAGCAGCAGGAAGGACCACCCAUGCACACCCUAGGAUACACACCAUGUGAGGCUGCACUCCUUUUUCUGUAGCUAAACUCCUGGCUGCAGCAGCAGCAGAAAAGGUUGAGUUCCCAUGGCAAGCUCCUCCCUCAGUACGCCACACAGAUGAGUGUACCUCCCCUGCUCUGCUACUGUGACUUACAAAAAGUUACUAACACGACUCCCCCAACCCUUGGCUCCCUGGAUGAAGAUCCCAGCAAGGCUCACUCAAAGGCAUGAGGCCAGUGCAUCAGGUACAGGUCCAAAUACUCCAGUUGGAGGUCAGCCAGCGUCUUCCGGAGGGCAGGCUCCACAUCCUCAGGGUGGUGCUUCGUGUUCCACAGCUUGGAAGUCA
Long non-coding RNA from Camelus dromedarius (Arabian camel), 2248 nucleotides. RefSeq lists it as uncharacterized. The record is from RefSeq and is a predicted model, not a curated record. The transcript is spliced from 3 exons. Lineage: Eukaryota; Metazoa; Chordata; Mammalia; Artiodactyla; Camelidae.